Molecule: long non-coding RNA, 3214 nt
Filed under: Sus scrofa (pig)
Lineage: Eukaryota; Metazoa; Chordata; Mammalia; Artiodactyla; Suidae
Description: lncRNA (ENSSSCG00000058489.1)
Source: RNAcentral
UUGUUUAUCUAUCCUACAUACAACUUAAGUCGAAGCUAGGUUUAAGAAGUUGUGACUCGGAGUUCCCAUGGUGGCUCAGCAGAAAAGAAUCUGACUAGCAUCUAUGAGGACUCAUGUUUAAUCCCUGGCCUUGCUCAGUGGGUUAAGGAUCUGGCAUUGCUGUGAGCUGUGGUGUAGGUCACAGAUGCGGCUUGGAUCUGGCAUUGCUGGGGCUGUGGCAUAUGCCAGUGGCUACAGCUCCAAUUCAACCACUAGCUUGGGAACCUCCAUAUGCCACAGGGGCGGCCCUAAAAAGACAAACAAAAACAAAAACAAACCAAAAAAAGUUGUGACUAUAAUAAACAGAAUAUCCAAAGACUAAAUCGGCUUUUUUUUUUUUUCCUUUUUUUCCUUUUUUUUUUUUUGGUUGCACCCGCAGCAUAUGAAUCGAACCCACGGCAAAGCAGUGACCCAAGCCACUGCAGUGACAACGUCAGAUCCUUAACUCGCUGCAACACAGGAGAACUCCUAAAUCAGAAUUUUACAGAGGCGUGAGAAACCUGGAUUAACCUGGGUGGAGGAGGAAAUGGGUCACACAGAGAACUUGGGUCACACAGAGAACUUGGAAAUAGGCGGAAGUGAGGAGCUGUCAGCUCUGCCUCCGGCCAGAGCCUGGGACAGGCGUUGUGAACCGGCCUUCCCAGGCCCUGCCUGUUCAGGCACUCCACCCAGGAGCUCAAAGCUCAACUGCCUUAGGUUGCCACUUUGUUCACAGAAUGAGGCCACAGGGCACAGGGAGGGGCUGGGGGUUACUGACCCUGAUCCUUUUCCUCACCAGGAUGACCCCUGCCCCACCCAACCCUGAUGCCUACUUCCUUUAGCACCCAGCACUGCAAAGGCGACAAUCUUCCCAUGGGCCUCUACCCUAGCCACCUGACUCUCCUCAUUCACUCACUAAUGCACACUUUGCAAAUUAAAGACACAGAGUUCCCGCCAUGGCUCAGUGGUUAACGAACCUGACCAGUAUCAAUGAGGACACAGUUUCGAUUCCUGGCCUUGCUCAGUGGGUUAAGGAUCCAGCGUUGCCAUGAUCUGCAGUGUAGGUUGCAGACAUGGCUGGGAUCCUGAGCUGCUGUGGCUGUGAAGUAGGCUGGCAGCUGUAGCUCUGAUUGGACCCCUGGCCUGGGAACUUCCAUAUGCUGCAGGUGCAGCCCUAAAAAGACAAAAACAAACAAACAAAUACAAAGACACAGGCAGAGAGAAUCCUCUACAAUCAUGGGUCAGACUCAGACCGGUGAAGUCACAUUUUUUUUUUUUCUCCCUCGACUCCAGUUGGAUGGUGUUUGUCACUUGUUAGGUACCAACAACCUUAGGAGAGGAGUCAGAGAAAGAUGUGGGAAAAGGAGGAGCCGAAAAGGAAGUAGAGGGGGAAGGGGAGAGAGAAGGAAUUUCUUUGCAGUCUAAAGAAGGACUUGAGGAGGGAAAGAUAAAAGAGAAUAGCCUAGGCUAAUUAAGAGAGAGAAGAACAGAUGACUCUGAAGGGACAAUGUUUGGUGCUAAUAACUCUAGCUAACAUUUACUGAACACUUUACUAUGUGUUAAGAAUGGUUUUGGAGUUCCCAUCGUGGCUCAGUGGAAACGAAUCUGACUAGUAUCCAUGAGGAUGCAGGUUUGAUCUCUGGGUUAAGGAUCAGUGGGUUAAGGAUCCAGCGUGCUGUGAGCUGUGGUGUAGGUCACAGACAUGGCUCGGAUCUGGCAUUGCUGUGGCUGUGGUGUAGGCCAGCAGCUGCAGCUCCGAUUCAACCCCUAGCCUGGGAACCUCCAUAUGCUGACGGUGCAACCAUAAGAAGAAAAAAAAAAGUGUUUUAAGGACAUUGCAUGUAUUAUCUCAUUUAAGCCUCCCAACAACCCCAAAAGAUAGGUUAUUUGGGAGUUUUGCUGAUGAGAAAACUGAGGCUUAGAUGAAAUCAACUGUUCAAGGUUCCGCAGCUACUGCUGGAGCCAGGAUGCAAGCCCAUCAUAGCUAACUUAGAACCCUCUAGUGACAUCUCCCUUCUGCAUUCCCCCUCCCCAUGCUCCCCAGUUGGCUGUACCAGGGAUAAGGAAAGCCACCAGGUGAGAAGCACAGGGUGAGCUCCAUGGCCAUGAAUCCAGUUAGAACAUACUCAGUAAGCUCAGCUUAUGUUUUCUGUAAUUCAGAUUCUGUAAGAGUAAAUGUUCUCAUGAAAUUGCAGAUCAGCAGAAAAAAUGGAUGUAUUCUUGAUUCUACUUCUGCAUGUAAAGAUAGAUAUAGGAGACUUUGUUAUGUACUUACAAGGCUUCGUGUGGUAUUAAAUAACCCUGGUAAAAGAUGCUGACCUGUUUGGGGUCUGGUCUGGAGAUGAUUAGUGUAGAAUCAAAUUAUGUCAAAGGGGAACUUGGGGUUGACCACAUGCUAGACAUUCCAUUUAAAGACCGUGAAAGACACAGCAGUGUGAUUUGAAACUCUUGAGUACAAUGUGAAGUUGGGAACGCUGAUCCAGGUAGAAUUAAGAAAGGUGUAAGUCUGAAACAUGAACUCCAUCACCUGUUUACAGGUAACAUGCAGUUAGGCAAAUUCCCCGGGAGCAUGGCAUAAUAAGGAGGUGGGCAGAGUCGGGCUGGCUUUAAGGGCAUGCAAAAGAAAGAGGAAGAGGAACAAAUGAGUUAUUUUUAUUUGUCUGAAGAAUGUAACAAGUUUUUGAGGGGAAGAGGGUACAUGAAAGAAGGGGAGGUUUUCUGAAAGAGCUUCGGGGGUGGGGAAUGAAGAAGAUAGAUGUCAGUUUAUAGCACAUGUUUGGAGACUGGAGCAUAAUAUCAAGCAACCAACAAGAGUUGCAGCAAGAAACAGUAAGUGGGAGGAAAUAGCUCUCGAGAGGGCCAUGACUAAAUUUGUCUCAAGCCUGCAGAGGAGAAGAGAGAAGAGGAGGAAGUAAUAAUGGGAAGGUGAGGGAGGACAAGAGUAAAAGAUUCACUGCAGGAAUCCCAAGGCUCCAAGGAAAGAGGUGUUGGAGCAGAGCUGGAGACACCAGUAGAACCUGAGAUAAAGGCAUCCCCUCUCCCACUACAAAACCAAGCAGUUAACGAAUAGGGCAAUUCAGUGUCUGAUGCACCUUCUUGAGUUAUUUCACAGAGGCUAUAACUGCCAUGGGCCAGAGAGGGGGGGCGCAGGGACAGGGAGCUAACUACCUGAUGAUCAGACGAUAGCCAUGUCAUA